Molecule: long non-coding RNA, 305 nt
Organism: Scylla paramamosain (green mud crab)
Lineage: Eukaryota; Metazoa; Arthropoda; Malacostraca; Decapoda; Portunidae
Exons: 3
Source: RefSeq, a predicted model, not a curated record
AAAGAGGCGCGUCCCAGUUCCGUCAUAUCCGCAGCGUUCAGGACCAGGAAUGUCACCUUCGCCUUAUCGUUGCUGUGGAGAACUGUUCCGAUCACCACGCCGUCGUCCUCAGCCUGAAGGAGAAUGAGAUGAGGACAAUGAGGCGACGGAGGUAGACGGGGCGGCCCACCACGCACUGCUGGCAACGCGCGACCUAGCAACGGCGGCACGCAACACGCGCCUCACUUCUGACCACAGGAACUGAAUCCAUGACGCCACCACCACCACCACCACCACUACCACCACCGCCGCCACCGCCGCCAACA